CUGGGUCCCUGAGACCCUUUAACCUGUGAGGAUGUCAGGGUCACAGGUGAGGUUCUUGGGAGCCUGG
Molecule: microRNA precursor, 67 nt
Filed under: Jaculus jaculus (lesser Egyptian jerboa)
Lineage: Eukaryota; Metazoa; Chordata; Mammalia; Rodentia; Dipodidae
Description: microRNA 125a (ENSJJAG00000000758.1)
Rfam family: lin-4 microRNA precursor family
About the family: The extents of the hairpin precursors are not generally known and are estimated based on hairpin prediction. The products are thought to have regulatory roles through complementarity to mRNA. The involvement of Dicer in miRNA processing suggests a relationship with the phenomenon of RNA interference.
Source: RNAcentral